GGUGAUGACUCAGCUCUGCCAUUGCUGC
Molecule: non-coding RNA, 28 nt
Filed under: Homo sapiens (human)
Lineage: Eukaryota; Metazoa; Chordata; Mammalia; Primates; Hominidae
Source: RNAcentral